AACGAACGCUGGCGGCAUGCCUAACACAUGCAAGUCGAACGAAGUCUUCGGACUUAGUGGCGCACGGGUGCGUAACGCGUGGGAAUCUGCCCUUGGGUGCGGAAUAACUUCUCGAAAGGGAUGCUAAUACCGCAUAAUGUCGUAAGACCAAAGAUUUAUCGCCCAAGGAUGAGCCCGCGUAAGAUUAGCUAGUUGGUGGGGUAAAAGCCUACCAAGGCGACGAUCUUUAGCUGGUCUGAGAGGAUGAUCAGCCACACUGGGACUGAGACACGGCCCAGACUCCUACGGGAGGCAGCAGUGGGGAAUAUUGGACAAUGGGCGAAAGCCUGAUCCAGCAAUGCCGCGUGAGUGAUGAAGGCCCUAGGGUUGUAAAGCUCUUUACCAGGGAUGAUGAUGACAGUACCUGGAGAAUAAGCUCCGGCUAACUCCGUGCCAGCAGCCGCGGUAAU
RNAcentral lists this ribosomal RNA (449 nucleotides) under uncultured bacterium. RNAcentral describes it as "bacterial SSU rRNA". It matches the Rfam family "Bacterial small subunit ribosomal RNA", at positions 29 to 524 of the family's 1533-position model. The record is from RNAcentral.